GACGAACGCUGGCGGCGUGCUUAACACAUGCAAGUCGAACGGAAAGGCCCUGCUUUUGUGGGGUGCUCGAGUGGCGAACGGGUGAGUAACCCGUGAGUAACCUGCCCUUGACUUUGGGAUAACUUCAGUAAACUGGGGCUAAUACCGGAUAGGAGCUCCUGCUGCAUGGUGGGGGUUGGAAAGUUUCGGCGGUUGGGGAUGGACUCGCGGCUUAUCAGCUUGUUGGUGGGGUAGUGGCUUACCAAGGCUUUGACGGGUAGCCGGCCUGCGAGGGUGACCGGCCACAUUGGGACUGAGAUACGGCCCAGACUCCUACGGGAGGCAGCAGUGGGGAAUAUUGCACAAUGGGCGGAAGCCUGAUGCAGCAACGCCGCGUGCGGGAUGACGGCCUUCGGGUUGUAAACCGCUUUCGCCUGUGACGAAGCGUGAGUGACGGUAAUGGGUAAAGAAGCACCGGCUAACUACGUG
RNAcentral lists this ribosomal RNA (468 nucleotides) under uncultured bacterium. RNAcentral describes it as "partial 16S ribosomal RNA". It matches the Rfam family "Bacterial small subunit ribosomal RNA", at positions 28 to 507 of the family's 1533-position model. The record is from RNAcentral.